Molecule: ribosomal RNA, 842 nt
Filed under: uncultured bacterium
Lineage: Bacteria
Description: bacterial SSU rRNA
Rfam family: Bacterial small subunit ribosomal RNA
Source: RNAcentral
AGAGUUUGAUCCUGGCUCAGAACGAACGCUGGUGGCGUGUCUUAUACAUGCAAGUCGAGCGGUGCAGCAAUGCAUAGCGGCGAACGGGUGAGUAACACGUAAGCAAUCUGCCCCCUACUUGGGAAUAGCCGUGCCAACGCGCGGAUAAUACCGAAUAUCGUGGCGUCCCGCAUGGGAUGUUGACGAAAGAUUUAUCGGUAGGGGAUGAGCUUGCGUCCGAUUAGCUAGUUGGCGGGGCAACGGCCCACCAAGGCGACGAUCGGUAGCCGGCCUGAGAGGGCGAUCGGCCACAUUGGGACUGAGAUACGGCCCAGACUCCUACGGGAGGCAGCAGUAGGGAAUAUUGCACAAUGGGGGGAACCCUGAUGCAGCAACGCCACGUGUGGGAAGAAGCAUUUCGGUGUGUAAACCACUGUCGUGAGGGAAUAAUGCUCGGUCUCGGCCGAGUUGAAUGUACCUCGAAAGGAAGCACCGGCAAACUUCGUGCCAGCAGCCGCGGUAAUACGAGGGGUGCAAGCGUUGUUCGGAAUCACUAGGCGUAAAGGGAGCGUAGGCGGAGACGCAAGCAGUCUGUACAAUACCGGGGCCCAACCCCGGACCUGCAGACUGGACUGUGUCUCUUGGAUAGUUCAGGGGCAGGCGGAAUUCCUGGUGUAGCGGUGGAAUGCGUAGAGAUCAGGAAGAACACCGAUGGCGAAGGCAGCCUGCUGGGGACUCAUCGACGCUGAGGCUCGAAAGUGCGGGUAGCAAACAGGAUUAGAUACCCUGGUAGUCCACACUGUAAACGAUGAAUGCUAGGUGUAGGAGGUAUCGACCCCCUCUGUGCCGCAAUUAACACAAUA